AGACACCUCAGUGGAUGGGUCACUGUGACAAUGAGGUUGCUGCAAACAGACACUGUGGCUCUGCUUCUCUCAGCGACUGUCAAAGGCUACACUGUGUGCAAAUCCGAAUGCACAACAGGAAUCCACAGGAACCCCGGGGGCACAGAAAGAUUCUGACAGAAGGCGCAAAUUUCACUUCCUUUGGAGAAUUGUCAUUUCCCUCCAAAAGCUGGAGGGGUCACGGAGUCUUCUGGAAGAUGUAGUGUUUGCUGGAGUGUUGAACAGCUAGUGAAGAAUUUCUGCUGUAAUGAGGGGAAUGAGCCUGUUGAGUUACGGGUUUUGGCAGAACUGCAGUGAUCUGUAUUGACAUGAGACUUAGGGAAGCUUUUUCCUGAACAGCAAAAUGAGAUGGGUGUCUGUGGUUCACUCCAGAUUACCCUGUGUGUGUCUCAAAAGCUCUGUCUUGUUCUUGGCAGAAACUGGAGACAGUGGUUCCUAUGAAUGUAUUGGAGAUGACAUAAUAGAUUUUGAAGAAUGGGUAUGCUUUUUGGGGUAGUAUAGUGUUUUAUAAUA
Long non-coding RNA from Neopelma chrysocephalum (saffron-crested tyrant-manakin), 552 nucleotides. RefSeq lists it as uncharacterized. The transcript is spliced from 4 exons. Lineage: Eukaryota; Metazoa; Chordata; Aves; Passeriformes; Pipridae. The record is from RefSeq and is a predicted model, not a curated record.